Non-coding RNA from Podarcis lilfordi (Lilford's wall lizard), 93 nucleotides. The record is from the annotation of a GenBank genome assembly. NCBI's taxonomy places the organism in Eukaryota, Metazoa, Chordata, Lepidosauria, Squamata, Lacertidae.
GUCUCUUCCAACUCUAUGAUUCUAUGGAGUGCUGCUCUUUUCCAGAAGCAGGUAUUGAUCAUAGAAUCAUAGAAUCAUAGAGUUGGAAGAGAC